UACGGGGGGGGCAAGCGUUGUUCGGAAUUACUGGGCGUAAACGGCUCGUAGGCGGCCAACUAAGUCGGACGUGAAAUCCCUCGGCUCAACCGGGGAACUGCGUCCGAUACUGGAUGGCUUGAGUUCGGGAGAGGGAUGCGGAAUUCCAGGUGUAGCGGUGAAAUGCGUAGAUAUCUGGAGGAACACCGGUGGCGAAGGCGGCAUCCUGGACCGACACUGACGCUGAGGAGCGAAAGCGUGGGGAGCGAACAGG
Molecule: ribosomal RNA, 253 nt
Filed under: uncultured bacterium
Lineage: Bacteria
Description: partial 16S ribosomal RNA
Rfam family: Bacterial small subunit ribosomal RNA
Source: RNAcentral